CCUACGGGAGGCAGCAGUGAGGAAUAUUGGUCAAUGGCCGCAGGGCUGAACCAGCCAAGUCGCGUGAGGGAUGACGGUCCUAUGGAUUGUAAACCUCUUUUGUCAGGGAGCAAAGGGCGCCACGUGUGGCGCUUUGCGAGUACCUGAAGAAAAAGCAUCGGCUAACUCCGUGCCAGCAGCCGCGGUAAUACGGAGGAUGCGAGCGUUAUCCGGAGUUAUGGGGGUUAAGGGGUGCGCAGGCGGAAUGUCAAGUCGGCGGUAAAAUUUCGGGGCGCAACCCCGUCGUGCCGUUGAAACUGGCGGUCUUGAGUGAGCGAGAGGUAUGGGGAAUGCGUGGUGGAGCGGUGAAAUGCAUAGAUAUGACGCAGAACGCCGAUGGCGAGGGCAGCAUACGGGCGCUCAACUGACGCGCAGGCACGAAAGCGUGGGUAGCGAACAGGAUGAGAUACCCCUGUAGUC
This 459-nucleotide ribosomal RNA is filed under the name uncultured bacterium. RNAcentral's name for it is "partial 16S ribosomal RNA". It matches the Rfam family "Bacterial small subunit ribosomal RNA", at positions 338 to 795 of the family's 1533-position model. The record is from RNAcentral.